GACAGAGGGUGCUAGCGUUGUUCGGAAUUACUGGGCGUAAAGCGUGCGCAGGCGAUUUGCUAAGAGAGAUGUGAAAUCCCCGGGCUUAACCUGGGAACUGCGUUUCUAACUGGCAGGCUUGAGUGUGGCAGAGGGGGGUGGAAUUCCACGUGUAGCAGUGAGAUGCGUAGAUAUCGUGAGGAAUACCAGAGGCGAAGGCGGCUACCUGGACAAUUGCUGACGCUCAGGCACGAAAGCGUGGGGAGCAAAAGGG
This 253-nucleotide ribosomal RNA is filed under the name uncultured bacterium. RNAcentral's name for it is "partial 16S ribosomal RNA". It matches the Rfam family "Bacterial small subunit ribosomal RNA", at positions 524 to 776 of the family's 1533-position model. The record is from RNAcentral.